Molecule: non-coding RNA, 614 nt
Organism: Peromyscus maniculatus bairdii (prairie deer mouse)
Lineage: Eukaryota; Metazoa; Chordata; Mammalia; Rodentia; Cricetidae
Source: the annotation of a RefSeq genome assembly
GAAACUACUGUACCCCAAUCUCAUAUCUCAUGGAGUGGAUGUGGAGGCUCCUUUUCCUGCUGGCAGCUGCCCAAAGUGUCCAAGCACAGGUUCAGCUGGUGCAGUCAGGCUCUGAGCUGAAACAGCCUGGACAGUCAGUGAAGAUCUCCUGCAAGGCUUCAGGGUACACCUUCACAAGCUAUGGAAUGAACUGGGUGAAGCAGGAACCAGGACAGGGCCUGAAGUGGAUGGGCUGGAUCAACACCAACACUGGGAAUCCAACAUAUGCUGAGGACUUCAAAGGUCGGUUUGUCUUCUCUUUGGACACUUCGGUCAGCACUGCGUACCUGCAGAUCAGUAGCCUCAAGAAUGAAGACACGGCCAUGUAUUACUGUGCAAGACACACAGUGUGAAAACCACAUCCUGAGGGUGUCAGAAACCCUGACGGAAGUAUCUUGUUAAACGGGAGGUCCCCAGCCACGGCACAGGAGGUCCCCAGCAGCAGCACGGAUGGACAGCUGCAGAACCAGGAGACGGCAGAACGUCGUUCCAGGACCUCCACCAUCAUCCCCAGAUUUCACAAGCAUCUCAUUGUCAAUGGAAAAAUCAUUUCCAUUGAACAAUUAUUUGUGUGA